Molecule: transfer RNA, 69 nt
Filed under: Serilophus lunatus (silver-breasted broadbill)
Lineage: Eukaryota; Metazoa; Chordata; Aves; Passeriformes; Eurylaimidae
Description: tRNA-Phe
Rfam family: tRNA
About the family: Transfer RNA (tRNA) molecules are approximately 80 nucleotides in length. Their secondary structure includes four short double-helical elements and three loops (D, anti-codon, and T loops).
Source: RNAcentral
GUCCCUGUAGCUUAUAGACAAAGCAUGACACUGAAGAUGUCAAGAUAGUUGCACAUGCAUCCAAGGACA